Molecule: unclassified non-coding RNA, 2135 nt
Filed under: Hevea brasiliensis (rubber tree)
Lineage: Eukaryota; Viridiplantae; Streptophyta; Magnoliopsida; Malpighiales; Euphorbiaceae
Source: RNAcentral
CUCAAGUUACCUUAUGAACCUCCUCACACUAAUUAAACACAAUUUUUUUUUGGAGAAAGUACAGUUUAAAUUCAGCUGUUCGACAUCUUGGGAUUUUCAAUGUCAAUUUGCAUUGUCGCUUAUUGUAUGUAGAGGUCACAGCUAGCUAAGUAAUUUGUUGGAAUUACCCAGGAUGAUCGAUCAGCACCUGAGCUUAUUCAGCUGAAGAUUGAGAAACUAUGAAGUCUAAAAGGAGUCAGUACUACCGUAUGGUUUCCUGGUAUACAUACUUCUCUGCAUAGUUCAAGCUUGUCUGAAUGAAAAUUUUUUAUGAAAUGAAGCAUUACUCAUACAUGCGAACUUAAUUAUGUGUCUGAAUGGCCAAAAACUAGAGUUGCAUGUAGUUUAACAGGCUUCUUAACAACAUCAGCAGCAGCAGAACUAAACUACCGUAGCAUGUAGAAACUUUCAUUAAGCUUUGAACUACAACUAUUCUUUGCAAUGCAUUGGAUUCAUUUACAAAUACCAUGGACUGAGCCACCGACUCUGAUGUGUUGUUCAAUCAACACAUGCAUCAAAAGGCUGUACAUGUUGAUAAUAAAAAACAGGUAACUGAACAGGAUAAAAAGUUAAACUGCUUAUGCAACCUGGUAAGACGUAAAGGUUAGUAAAUCUUGACAACUUGAGAAAAAUAAAUUCCAUUUACUAACUUGGCCUUCAAGCUGAAAAUUUUAUGUUUACAAAGCUCUCCCUUUCCUCCACAUCUGUCCUCAUUCUUAACUCUACAUUUUUACAUUAAUCUUGCAAAGUUCUCUCUAAAGAAGAUUGUGAGAACAUGUUUAAGCAGCCUUCGUAUCACUAUCAUCAAGAUCAUAGCAUGCAAAAACAGGAAAACAGAGUUGAAUUCAUCUUCAAAUUGAUGCCUGGUCUAGUUAGCAAAGAAUAGAUAUUCUACAAUAAAGUUUUCUGCCCUCCUAGUCCUAAUCAAUGGUGUAAAGCUAUAACUGUUUCAUUUUUACUAAAUCUCAAAGUGGGUGUGGUUUAAGGAAAUGAAUCAUACAUUCUUUUUCCUGAGAUUACCCAUAAACCUGUACAAAACUGAAGAUCCCUCCCUAUGGAAGAGCUCUAACUUAUUCCAUUUCAAUCAAGCAAAGAAUGCUCCAAGCAUUUUCAAGUAGUUAUCAAACUCAGUAAGAAUCCACAUAAAAGAAUAUGCAGAAAACGCAGUGCAUCAUAGAAAAGUGAAGAGCAUUUGAAAAUCCCAUAAGUUGAAAUCGCACUCAGGUCUCAUCCACUUUAUUAAUAAACGAAACGAGGGAAAAAAAACACCUCACCAACAAAAUUAAAGAACUUUAAGCAUAUCUUCAGCUCCACUGAACGUAAAAGCUCCACCUUCUUCCAAAUUGAGCACCUUGACGACCCCAUCCUCUGCCAAAAGGGCAUAUCUCCUUGACCUCACUCCCAAUCCCACUGGCUUAUCACGCAAAUCUAGCUCACACCCAAUUUUCUUGGUGAAUUCCCCAUUUCCAUCAGACAAAAGCAGCACCUCGUCCUUAAUCCCUAAAUUCUCCUUCCAAGCUCUCAUAACAAACGCAUCGUUCACCGAUACACAAGCAAUGGUAUCCACCCCUUUCGCUUUUAGCUCCGCGGAUUUCUCCACGAAUCCCGGAAGGUGUUUCUGCGAGCAGGUAGGAGUGAAGGCUCCAGGGACAGCAAAGAAGAUUGACUUUUUCCCGGAAGUGAGAGAGGAUACGGUGGUGGUCUGGAGCUCCCCGUCAGCGUCGAAAUAGGAAAGGGUGGCGUCCGGAAGCUUGUCGCCGACAGAAAUGGUGGCGGAGAUUGUGGGAGUGGUGGUUGUUUUGGUGGAGAAUCUUUUGAGUUUGAGUGGAUUGGAUUGGUGUUUGAGAGGGAGAGAGGAGAAAGAUAGUUUAGAGGAGAGGGAGAUAGGAGAGAGUAGGGAUUUGGUUGUGGCGGUGGUUGCGGCCGCGGGGGAGGAGAGGAGAAGUCUAGAGAUGGAGAGAGAAGCAGCCAUUGGAAGAGCUAGUAGAAGAGAAGAGAUUUGGUGGGUUGAGGUGCAAUGGGGUUUUGGGAUGAUUUGUGGCGUUGGGGGCGGAGGAAACAAAGAUUAUGACGUGCAGGUUCAGGUAAGGACAAAG